UACGUAGGGACCAAGCGUUGUUCGGAUUUACUGGGCGUAAAGGGCGCGUAGGCGGCAAUUCAAGUCAUCUGUGAAAUCUCCGGGCUUAACUCGGAACGGUCAGAUGAUACUGCUUUGCUAGAGUGCGGAAGGGGCAAUCGGAAUUCUUGGUGUAGCAGUGAAAUGCGUAGAGAUCAAGAGGAACACUCGUGGCGAAAGCGAGCUACUGGACAAUUCCUGACGCUGAGGCUCGAAGGCUAGGGUAGCGAAAGGG
This 253-nucleotide ribosomal RNA is filed under the name uncultured bacterium. RNAcentral describes it as "partial 16S ribosomal RNA". It matches the Rfam family "Bacterial small subunit ribosomal RNA", at positions 524 to 776 of the family's 1533-position model. The record is from RNAcentral.